This 1543-nucleotide long non-coding RNA is filed under the name Salvia miltiorrhiza (redroot sage). RNAcentral describes it as "long non-coding RNA (SMIL_LNC005373)". Lineage: Eukaryota; Viridiplantae; Streptophyta; Magnoliopsida; Lamiales; Lamiaceae. The record is from RNAcentral.
UAGAUAUCCACGAGUUUUCAAAGAGCAUUCCGCCAAUCUCAUUUUUAACCCGUCUCCCCCGAAUUGCCCUAUGGAAAAAACCCGAAUUAGUGUCUCCCUCUUUUAGCCAUUUGAUUUUGGCUUUCUGUUGCAGCAUUAUCUGUUUAUUCUUGAUUUGAAGGGAGAGCAGGGCUUGAAUCUCAUUUCUCCUGAUCACCUCUGAUUCUUCAAGACCUCUCUGUUCGUCCACCUUAUCCUUCUCUUGAAGUUCCUUCUGAAGUUCUUUGAUUUUGUGGUCAAUCUCACCAAAAGAAGUCCGAUUCCACACCUUCAACGCCUCUUUGAGUUUCUUUAGUUUCUCCUUAACCUCAAAAAAGCUCCAUCCCCCCACAUUAGUCUCCGUCCAAACCUGCUUGACCAUCUCCUCGAACUCCGAAUGAUUCACCCAUGCAUUGAGGAACCGAAAAGGUCUUGGUCCCCAAUCCUCCGAUCUUGUAGUGAGAAUAAUCGGACAGUGAUCCGAAAUUGAACGUUGAAGUCCUCGUGCCGACGUUCCUUCCCAAGUAGCCAUCCACUUCUCAUUUACGAGGAAGCGAUCAAUCUUACUCUUGCACUUUCCAUUUGGUUUGUACCAAGUAAACUUCCGGCCUUGAGUUUUAAUUUCCUCCAAAUCGUUCUCCCGGAUAAAUUCUUCAAAACUUCUUGCAUCAGCCGCUCCAAACGCCUCCCCACUGCCCACACGUUCAUCCCUCCUCCUAACUGAGUUAAAGUCUCCCAAUAUACAGAUACUCCUAUCCGUAUUUUGUUCCACAAUUGUGCUUAAGGCAUCCCACAAGAUCCGCUUAUCCCCUGAGCCGACUGGUGCGUACACAUUGAUGAUGCAACAUAAGAUAUCACCCUCCUUGUACCUACCAUUCACCACCACCGCCCCCGGUAAAUCCCACGUACUAGAGGCUUCGAAAACCUCCCUAUUCCACAAGCAAACAAUUCCUCCCGCCCUUCCCUCCGAAUUCCUAAUCGCUAUGUCUGUAUAGUUAGACCCCCACCAAGAUUUACAGAACAAAUCCCUGAACACCUCCAUCUUUGUCUCCUGUAAGCAACAAAANCAGAAUGUGAAGUUAAAUCCAUCGGGUCCCGGACUCUUGUCUCCACAACAGCUCCAAACUGCUUCUUUAAUCUCGUCCAGAUCAAAAUCCCUGAUUAGCCACUGCCUCUCGUCAGUUGAAAUUUUCCUCCUCAUGAAGUCCCGGGGGAAAUCAGGCAUCAGUCGUUCUUUCCUUUGAAAAAGCUUCAAAAUGAUUUCUCACUCUUGCUUUAACCUCUUCCGGUUUAGAUAUCCAAGAGUUUUCAAAGAGCAUUCCGCCAAUUUCGUUUUUAACCCGUCUCCCACGAAUUGCCCUAUGAAAAAAACCCGAAUUAGUGUCUCCCUCUUUGAGCCAUUUGAUUUUGGCUUUCUGUUGCAGCAUCAUCUGUUUAUUCUUGAAUUGAAGGGAGAGCAUGGCUUGAAUCUCAUUUCUCCUGAUCACCUCUGAUUCUUCAAGACCUCUCUGUUCGUCCACCUUAU